AUCCUUUCGAGAAAGAGAGAAAAGCUUCACUUGAAUAAUUUGCAAGAUCAAAGGUAUAAAUUAAGGGUGGAAAUAUCGCACAUAUUUUAAAAAUCGUUUCCUAACAUUGAAAACAAACUUGUCCAGGUUAUUCUCUAAGGCACACGUCAAAGAAAAGCCGGGACACUUUACAAUGAAAAAAACAGGAUAUAGAUAAACAAUGGUCUAAUUUCCGCCCACUGGAGUAAUUCUCCCAGAUGGAAUCGACGUAUUCAGUGGAGAACACUAGAAAAGACAACCACGGAAAUUUGCAUCACUCAGAAAGUUAGAGAAGGCGCCGAGCAACACAGAUUACCAAUGAAUCAAUCGACGGUUCUAGUUGGCCUGCUUGUGCUAUUUGCCGCGAUUUGUGGAUCAAAAGCUUUUACGGCAGGCAUCGGAAAUAUGGGAAUGAAAGGAAAGCGAGAUCUUGCUGUGAAGACUCGAAGAGAACUUCAACUGUUGUGCCAUUACGUACGAGGUACUUUGACUUCUAAAAGGUCUGGAGAGAGAACACAUCAGACGCCAUUUUACGUGCGGGAGAUUUGUGGGCUAUGACGUGAAAAGCAAUUGUUACGGCAGUGGGAGACCGGACAAUUUGGGCCAAUAUGAAUCGAAAUGUUUUGUCAGCUACCUUGUGUAAAAUAAUUACAAUAAAAAUCCGCUAACUUA
Orbicella faveolata is the source of this 690-nucleotide long non-coding RNA. RefSeq lists it as uncharacterized. Lineage: Eukaryota; Metazoa; Cnidaria; Anthozoa; Scleractinia; Merulinidae. The record is from RefSeq and is a predicted model, not a curated record.